RNAcentral lists this transfer RNA (61 nucleotides) under Mauremys mutica (yellowpond turtle). RNAcentral describes it as "tRNA-Thr". Lineage: Eukaryota; Metazoa; Chordata; Testudines; Geoemydidae. The record is from RNAcentral.
UAACCCAUAAAGCAUUGGUCUUGUAAACCAAAGACUGAAGACUUAUAAUCUUCCUAAAGUA